GGAAUUGUGGCUCAAUGGUAGAGCACUUGCCUGCUAUGUGUGAGGCCCUGGGUUCAAUCCUCAGCACCG
RNAcentral lists this transfer RNA (69 nucleotides) under Ictidomys tridecemlineatus (thirteen-lined ground squirrel). RNAcentral's name for it is "Spermophilus tridecemlineatus (thirteen-lined ground squirrel) tRNA". It matches the Rfam family "tRNA". From Rfam's summary of the family: Transfer RNA (tRNA) molecules are approximately 80 nucleotides in length. Their secondary structure includes four short double-helical elements and three loops (D, anti-codon, and T loops). The record is from Rfam by way of RNAcentral. Lineage: Eukaryota; Metazoa; Chordata; Mammalia; Rodentia; Sciuridae.